This 68-nucleotide transfer RNA is filed under the name Anoeconeossa unicornuta. RNAcentral's name for it is "tRNA-Gln". The record is from RNAcentral. Lineage: Eukaryota; Metazoa; Arthropoda; Insecta; Hemiptera; Aphalaridae.
GUAUUUAAGUGUUCUUGCAUUUAAAUUUUUGAAAUUUAAGGCUUAAAUUAAUAAUUUAAAAAUACAGA